AACCUUAUGGACCUGCGGGCGUAUACCUGCGGAGGGAUCAUUAACACUCAAUAAAAAAACACACUUCCUAUCCUUGGGGGAGAAAGGAUCCUUGAUUCAAGGAGAAUUUCAAGCCUAGGAUGGGAAUAAACCACUAUAUGUGAAUUCAAUGAAGUCCUUAACAGUACUCCCCAAAAAGGGGUACUGGAUUUCAUAAGCUCCUUUAAAUUCACUUUUUUAAUCAAAUCCCUUUGAAUUUGG
This 240-nucleotide unclassified non-coding RNA is filed under the name soil metagenome. RNAcentral describes it as "partial contains 5.8S ribosomal RNA, internal transcribed spacer 2, and large subunit ribosomal RNA". The record is from RNAcentral.